AUUGAACGCUCGCGGGAUGCUUUACACAUGCAAGUCGAACGGCAGCGCGGACUUCGGUCUGGCGGCGAGUGGCGAACGGGUGAGUAAUGUAUCGGAACGUGCCCAGUAGCGGGGGAUAACUACGCGAAAGCGUAGCUAAUACCGCAUACGCCCUACGGGGGAAAGCCGGGGAUCGUAAGACCUUGCACUAUUUGAGCGGCCGAUAUCGGAUUAGCUAGUUGGUGAGGUAACGGCUCACCAAGGCGACGAUCCGUAGCUGGUUUGAGAGGACGACCAGCCACACUGGGACUGAGACACGGCCCAGACUCCUACGGGAGGCAGCAGUGGGGAAUUUUGGACAAUGGGGGCAACCCUGAUCCAGCCAUCCCGCGUGUGCGAUGAAGGCCUUCGGGUUGUAAAGCACUGUUGGCAGGAAAGAAACGUCGCGGGCUAAUACCCCGUGGAACUGACGGUACCUGCAGAAUAAGCACCGGCUAACUACGUG
Molecule: ribosomal RNA, 484 nt
Filed under: uncultured bacterium
Lineage: Bacteria
Description: partial 16S ribosomal RNA
Rfam family: Bacterial small subunit ribosomal RNA
Source: RNAcentral